Molecule: transfer RNA, 59 nt
Filed under: Loxodonta africana (African savanna elephant)
Lineage: Eukaryota; Metazoa; Chordata; Mammalia; Proboscidea; Elephantidae
Rfam family: tRNA
About the family: Transfer RNA (tRNA) molecules are approximately 80 nucleotides in length. Their secondary structure includes four short double-helical elements and three loops (D, anti-codon, and T loops).
Source: Rfam by way of RNAcentral
AGUGGUUAGGAGUUUGGCUGCUAACCAAAAGGUUGGCAGUUCAAAUCUACCAGCCACUC